UAACAAGAUUGUCGAUCAUCUUUAUUGGAUUCCAUUACAACUUUGUAAGACGAAGAUGAACCUCUUGGCGAAAUCUUGAAGUUCUUUCUUAGUCGAAACCUUGUCCCGGUUGAGUUGUAUCCUUCACAAGAUUUGAAUAAUCCAAACUUUUGUUGAAACUCAAACAAGACUUCUCCGUAUAAGUCCAUAAGCCUUUGCUAUGGUACACUAGAGAUCUCAUCCAAAUCGUGAAACUCUGUUGCUCUGUCGCCACGUACGGCGAGCUCUUCUCUUCCCCAGCGCCGGAAACUACCGAUAAUGCUUGGACAGGGUGAAUCUGCACCAUGUUCUUAGCUGGACAAAAACCCAAAUACCGUCGUUGCUAAGUAUUUGUAUGUUUUGAAAAACUUCUAUAUUGAUAAUAUGUCUCAUCUUCGUAUAUAUACACUGUCUACUUUAUCAUAUAGAAAAGGAUACGAGUCUCUGGUUAUGAUUAAAAAAGGAUAUAUACAAAAACAAAAGGAUAUAUACGAAGGUUACAUCCACAUGUUCAAUGUGAGAUGCGACCAAAAAUAUGAUAAACUAUAAUUUAACGACGUUAACUAAUUAAAAUAUUAUAGAUAUACGUGCAGAAAGGUCGUUAGCACAGCACAUGGAUAAUGCGAGAUUCGAAUAAUUUAUAAAUGCAUAUACAAUACAACAAUAAAAUAGUUUCAAUUAUUAGUUUUUUUUUUUACAAUUAUUAGUUGUGAGCCUUAACUGGUCUUUGGUUUGGGCUCAUUGGAUUUGCGUUGUCCUCGUUGGUGAAUGCUGACAGUUUCUUGGAAUGAUACUGCAUGCACACAAAACAGUUAUGAGUCAUGACUAGCAGACUAACUGCUGUUUACUAAUGUUUUCAAAUUUUAUUUGUUGCAAAUAAUUAGCAAUUAAAUUUUGUUUUUGCAUACAAUAGUUAAAUAUAAAUAAGCUGUCACAUAAACGUUCUCAAAAGCGUAGUGUAUUUCUUAACAGGUUUUAUGUAUACACAUCCAGUGGCGGACCUAAGUAGGCGAAUGGGGUGUCAAGUGGCGCCCCUUAAAUCGUUAUAAUGUUGUUUUGUUCAUAGAAACAAUGUAAAAUCAGUAGUUCUCUACUUCUCUUAGUAAAAGUUCAUCACCUGACCCCGUAAACCAUGGAUGACAUAGUGACACUUUUUACUUGUUUUCUUUUUUUUAUGUAAAUAGUUUGGGCCAGGUUAAAUUCAAUCAUGGGUUUCGAUU
Brassica rapa (field mustard) is the source of this 1238-nucleotide long non-coding RNA. RefSeq lists it as uncharacterized. Lineage: Eukaryota; Viridiplantae; Streptophyta; Magnoliopsida; Brassicales; Brassicaceae. The record is from RefSeq and is a predicted model, not a curated record.